CUCUGAAGGGAGCCGUUUCAAAGAGCUAUUUAAAAGACUGUCUCCUUUUUGUUCUAAAUCAAGGAACGAAUCACUGGUAGCGGUUAUAGAAUAAGAUUUGGGGCAUGAAAAAAUACGCACCUAGCAAUUUUUUUCUGAAUUAUUCAGAAAUAUUUAUAAUACAAUUAUUUGACUUGUGUUUUCAUUGUAAUGCAUAAAGUGGCGCCAUAUUCCCCUGCUUUAAGAAUAACAUAACAAUAAAUACUAAAAAUAUAAACAAAAAUAGAAUAAAAACGUGUUUAUCAAUUUUAUAUGCCACUUAUCCUCAUUAGGGUCGCAGGGGUAUGCUGGAGCCUAUCCCAGAUAACAUUUGGGUCGGUAAAUACAACAAUACUGUGAAUAUUUGAAUCAAUCUGCCCUCCAAUAGUGAUUACAACAAUGUUUUACUCAUAAAAAAGUUAAUUUGGACAAGAAAAUCCACACAAGUAUGAAACAUACCAAAUGUAUGCUUGAUUUCUACUUCAUUUGUGAGAUUUGAGGUAGAGGACACAUUGCUGACACUCAAGUGUUGCUGCGUUUUGCACAUAAAGCCCUGUCAAAAUAAAUUGCAUCUUAGGAAUCACAGAACCUCUGAAACAUGUCACAAGAGACAUGCAAGAAAGCAGCAUCAAGUGAAGUGCAUUUCCUCGUGUUGUCACAGGAAGUAAGUCUUCCGUGAACACUUUCUUGCAUUUUAAUACGCCAUCAAGACACUGGAUCCAAUGGAUGCCUCAAGUGAACAGAACCAGUCGUCCUCCUGUGAUAACUUUGCAGACAAUAUGGCAGACAGUGUCUUACAGUCAUGUUUCGAGCAAAUGAAGGACUUUGACCAGCAGACGACAACUUCCCUCCUGAGUAGACAAAGUUUGUCCAAGGUCAACUGGGCUUCCUGCGACACACUGGUGGCCAAGAUGGACGCCUUUGCAGAAUCUCUAGCCUGUGAUGUCAUCAAUUGGGUCCUGUGUGGUCAAAGCCGGCAAGGAGGAGACGAACUGGGUGGACUGGCCCACCAUUUGGCUGAAACCGUCAUCACAUCCUCCAUCCGGGAAGCUAAGAAUCUUUCGUAGAUUAACAGUAAUUAACAGCCAGUGUUGAUUCUCAAAGAAAUUAAUCCAGUUUUAAUUCACACUGCAGUAGCCCUGAAAUGCCAGUAGAGGGCAGCAUAAGCGAACAUUCCUUCCAGUAUAGUUCCUGUAAACAAAUUUAUCACUUACGGUUAACAUUUAUGGGUGCAAAAGCAUUCUUAUAUGAAAAUCAAACGAGAAGAACUAAAAUCAAACUAAA
This is a long non-coding RNA of Doryrhamphus excisus (bluestripe pipefish), 1302 nucleotides long. RefSeq lists it as uncharacterized. The record is from RefSeq and is a predicted model, not a curated record. Lineage: Eukaryota; Metazoa; Chordata; Actinopteri; Syngnathiformes; Syngnathidae.